UACGUAGGGUGCAGGCGUUAAUCGGAAUUACUGGGCGUAAAGCGUGCGCAGGCGGUUUGCUAAGACAGGUGUGAAAUCCCCGGGCUUAACCUGGGAACUGCGCUUGUUACUGGCAGGCUUGAGUGUGGCAGAGGGGGGUGGAAUUCCACGUGUAGCAGUGAAAUGCGUAGAGAUGUGGAGGAACACCGAUGGCGAAAGGCAGCCCCCUGGGCUAACACUGACGCCUCAUGCACGAAAGCGUGGG
RNAcentral lists this ribosomal RNA (244 nucleotides) under uncultured bacterium. Its description in RNAcentral is "partial 16S ribosomal RNA". It matches the Rfam family "Bacterial small subunit ribosomal RNA", at positions 524 to 765 of the family's 1533-position model. The record is from RNAcentral.